This 253-nucleotide ribosomal RNA is filed under the name uncultured bacterium. RNAcentral describes it as "partial 16S ribosomal RNA". It matches the Rfam family "Bacterial small subunit ribosomal RNA", at positions 524 to 776 of the family's 1533-position model. The record is from RNAcentral.
UACGUAGGGUCCGAGCGUUGUCCGGAAUUAUUGGGCGUAAAGAGCUCGUAGGCGGUUUGUCGCGUCUGCUGUGAAAUCCCGAGGCUCAACCUCGGGCCUGCAGUGGGUACGGGCAGACUGGAGUGCGGUAGGGGAGAAUGGAAUUCCUGGUGUAGCGGUGAAAUGCGCAGAUAUCAGGAGGAACACCGGUGGCGAAGGCGGGUCUCUGGGCCGAAAUUGACGCUGAGGAGCGAAAGCGUGGGGAGCGAACAGG